Ictalurus punctatus (channel catfish) is the source of this 615-nucleotide long non-coding RNA. NCBI's taxonomy places the organism in Eukaryota, Metazoa, Chordata, Actinopteri, Siluriformes, Ictaluridae. The record is from Ensembl.
CAGCUUGAGACCUACGGGGAGGUCUCAGCUCCAGUGCUCCAGCCCGAGGUCAACUUGGCGACCUCGGAGCUCCCACCUGAGGUCAACAUGGCGACCUCGGAGCUCCCGCCUGAGGUCAACCUGGCGACCUCAGAGCUCCAGCCAGAGACCCCUGGGGAUAUCUCAGCUGCUGAGGAGGCCGCCCCGCUGUCCUGUCCCGCCAAGGAAGCUGUCCCGCUGUCCUGUCCCACCGAUUAAGCUGUUCCGCUGUCCUGUCCCGUCGAGGAAGCUGUCCCGCUGUGUUGUCCUGCCGAGGACGUCUCUCCGAGCUCCAGCCCUGCUGCCGACGUCGCCCCGAGUUCCAGCAGUGGACAUCGCCCGGUGCAGGUGGUGCUCUGCCUGCCUGCUGCCCGGCGGAGGCCACCCUGUUUCCUGAUGCAGCGAAGGACGGGUUACAUAGGGGGCCAGGACCGCCGAGCAGUCUGUUCUGUCCCCUCCCUGUUAAGUUAUUGUCGGAGGUGUGAGGGUGUGUUCAAUUCUUACCAGCGGUAGGCAUUUAAGGUAAAUGUCAUUAGUUAUUUAAAGCCCUGGCCAUCCAUCCAUCCAUCUUCUACCACUUACUCCUUCUUCAGGGUC